RNAcentral lists this ribosomal RNA (386 nucleotides) under uncultured bacterium. RNAcentral describes it as "bacterial SSU rRNA". It matches the Rfam family "Bacterial small subunit ribosomal RNA", at positions 28 to 414 of the family's 1533-position model. The record is from RNAcentral.
GACGAACGCUGGCGGCGUGCUUAACACAUGCAAGUCGAGCGGUAAGGCCCUUUCGGGGGUACACGAGCGGCGAACGGGUGAGUAACACGUGGGUGACCUGCCCUCAGCUCUGGGAUAAGCCUGGGAAACCGGGUCUAAUACUGGAUAUGACUCCAUGACGCAUGUUGUGGGGUGGAAAGCCUUGUGCGGCUGAGGAGUGGGCCCGCGGCCUAUCAGCUUGUUGGUGGGGUGANGGCCUACCAAGGCGACGACGGGUAGCCGGCCUGAGAGGGCGACCGGCCACACUGGGACUGAGACACGGCCCAGACUCCUACGGGAGGCAGCAGUGGGGAAUCCUGCGCAAUGGGCGAAAGCCUGACGCAGCGACGCCGCGUGAGGGAUGACGG